AAAUCCUUUCACAACUUUUAGCGAUGGAUGCCUCGGCUCGAGUAACGAUGAAGGACGCAGCAAAAUGCGAUAAGCGCCGUGAAUGGCAGAAUUCCGAGAAUCAAGAGAACGCUGAACGCAUACUGCACUUCCAGGUUACUCCUGGGAGUAUGUCUACUUCAGGACGAUAACGUUUAAAUGCUUCCAAAGGACACAUCCUGGUUCCGGCCAGAUUGCCUUUGGUGCGCGUUGAUGUGUGUCAGUGCCCAGGACCUAGUGUUCCAUUGACGCAUGAAAUCUACGACAUUUUGAAAUCCAGCUCACGCUUUUUGUUGCUUGUCUCCAUCAGCGUUGUGGUUUGGUUUCGGAAAAAAGUUGUCCAAGCUAGUUGAGAUUGAUUUCUCAAAUUGUUGCUUUUCGUAUGAAGUUAGACAAGGCUACCCGCUGAAUUUAAGCAUAUAAGUAAGCGGAGGAAAAGAAAAUGAAAAUGAUUCCCUUAGUAAUGGCGAAUGAACCGGGAGGAGCUCAACUUGUAAAUCGGGAACCUCGUUCUUGAAUUGUAGUCUUGAUAGGCAUUACCAGUGCUAGACCAGACGUAAGUCUUUUUGGAAGAAUGCGUCAGAGAGGGUGAGAAUCCCGUAUGCCGUUUGGUUCUAGUGCGUUCGGUGUGCUGUUUAGAGUCGCGUACUUUGGAACUGGUGCGCAAAAUGGGAGGUAAUCUUCUUCUAAAGCUAAAUACUGACUCGAGACCGAUAGCAAACAAGUACCGUGAGGGAAAGGUGAAAAGGACUUUGGAAAGAGAGUUAAAAGUGUCUGAAAUCGCUGAGAGGGAAGCGAAUGAAACCAGUUUAUUGCGGCGAGAUUGCCGUGGGAGAGCGCAAAGAUUGUGCUGUGGCACCGAAAGGGUUGCAGUGCGGUUGGAGCGGGUUUUCUGCGGUGUUUCUCGUUGUUACAAGUCAACGUCAGUUGGGUAUUCGACGAAAUCUGCUGUUCACUCCUCUCUUUGCUGCGGCGAAUUGAGAGUGGUCGGUGUGGAGUCUUACCUCGACUGAGGACUGCGUGCGGGGGGUAACUUGGCAUAAUCUUCGCAAAAGUUUGCUUUACUCCUAGAGUGUAGUAGGCCUAGCGGGGAUGAGCCGAGAUCUCUUCGUUCUAUGACGUUGACGAAAUGGCUUUUUUCGACCCGUCUUGAAACACGGACCAAGGAGUCUAGCUUUUGUGUAAGUGUGAGGGUGGCAAACCUUUACGCAUAAUGAAGGUAAGAGUUUGGAUUUUUUAGUUUUGCACAAACGUCCGAUUUUGAUCUUUUGAGAGAGAUUUGAGAAAGAACACAAUGGCUAGGACCCGAAAGAUGGUGAACUAUGCCUGAGUAGGGUGAAGCCAGGGGAAACUCUGGUGGAGGCUCGUAGCGGUACUGACGUGCAAAUCGUUCGUCGAACUUGGGUAUAGGGGCGAAAGACUAAUCGAACCAUCUAGUAGCUGGUUCCCUCCGAAGUUUCCCUCAGGAUAGCUAUCAACGGAGAACAGUUUUAUCAGGUAAAGCGAAUGAUUAGAGGCAUUGGGGACGCUUAGUCCUCGACCUAUUCUCAAACUUUAAAU
Molecule: ribosomal RNA, 1578 nt
Filed under: Dehalococcoidia bacterium
Lineage: Bacteria; Bacillati; Chloroflexota; Dehalococcoidia
Description: partial 23S ribosomal RNA
Rfam family: Eukaryotic large subunit ribosomal RNA (bases 397-1578)
Source: RNAcentral